This is a long non-coding RNA of Gekko japonicus, 1016 nucleotides long. RefSeq lists it as uncharacterized. The record is from RefSeq and is a predicted model, not a curated record. The transcript has 2 exons. NCBI's taxonomy places the organism in Eukaryota, Metazoa, Chordata, Lepidosauria, Squamata, Gekkonidae.
CUCAGGAAACAGAGGUGUAGCACAAUCUCCUCUUGACACAGAGACUCUUCACUCGAGUUCUUUCCUUUGGAAACUAAGAUACCCAUCGGCUGAAAAGAUGGCUGCUGACGGCAACCAGUGCAACGUAAGCUGUCCUCCCAUGACUGUGACCAUUCAGCCUCCAGCCUUCAGGAUGAUCAUUCCAGGACCGUCCCUCUACUGCCCUGACCAACCACUCACCAUUGAGCAACACAACCCCUGUAUUCCAGCCCCCCAGGCAAUCCGCAGUGGUGGAUACGGGUCCCUUUAUGCAGGGGGAGUCUGCAGUUCCAGGGUCACUGGAAUUUAUUCCCAGAAUUCGAUGCAGAGAGGCUGGGCUGGCGGCCGUUCCUUCUACUGAUGCUGUGUGCAAUGGUCACAACCCUCACAAAAGAAUGGAGAAUUGGAAACUGGAAAUCAAGAGCAACACUGGAAAAAUAUUCUUGAUGUGUACACCUUUCAUGUUAUAAGCCAGUGUUUUCUUUCGUUUUUAAAGCUUUCUAUCCAGGUACCUUUAAGGGAGGACUUUCAGUUAAUUUUUUUUUGGGCAUUUAUGUUGCAUUUCUUCAGUCAUGGGACACAAUGGGCCUCAAGAAAGUAUCCCAAACAGCCUUGUAUGAACCCUUCAGUCUGUGUCCUCCAACAAUUCUGGGACAUGUAUUGAGACAUACAUUCAUUUCUUGGAGGGGUUUAAUGGCCAGGAUUCCCAUUCUUCAUUGUUUCUCCUUGUGAGCUGUAUGAUCGGUAAUGGUUAAGACAUUAAGCAAGUUUGUCGUCAGGGAAGCAUUUGUGCAAUCGCCAUGGAGUGCCCCUUUGUUAAGUUCUUGAAGAACCCCAAGUUUCACUGGGCAUAGUUUGAAAAGCAAUGUUGUAGACCAUGACAUGUAAAAAAAAAAAAAUGAUCAAGCUUUGUAUCUGAUUUUUCUUUUCUUGGAUACCCGGAACUGUGCGAUUGUGCCUGUCUUCUGUUGCAAAAUAAAAUCUGCACUUCAUCAACA